AAGGCCAGGCUGAAGACUUUGCCGGAUUAGCUGAGAGGUGGUGCAUGGCCGUCGUCAGUUCGUACUGUGAAGCAUCCUGUUAAGUCAGGCAACGAGCGAGACCCCACGCCCACAGUUGCCAGCGUACUCUCUGGAGUGACGGGUACACUGUGGGGACCGCCGCUGCUAAAGCGGAGGAAGGAAUGGGCAACGGUAGGUCAGUAUGCCCCGAAUAUCCCGGGCUACACGCGAGCUACAAUGGUUGGUACAAUGGGUAUCUACCCCGAAAGGGGACGGGAAUCUCCUAAAACCAAUCUUAGUUCGGAUUGAGGGCUGCAACUCGCCCUCAUGAAGCUGGAAUCCGUAGUAAUCGCGUUUCAACAGAACGCGGUGAAUACGUCCCUGCUCCUU
This 390-nucleotide ribosomal RNA is filed under the name uncultured Methanosaeta sp. Its description in RNAcentral is "bacterial SSU rRNA". It matches the Rfam family "Archaeal small subunit ribosomal RNA", at positions 950 to 1338 of the family's 1478-position model. Lineage: Archaea; Methanobacteriati; Methanobacteriota; Methanomicrobia; Methanotrichales; Methanotrichaceae. The record is from RNAcentral.